UUGGGGGCAUGGGCAGGAAUAAUAAUUUGCCCGCUGGAUCCUCACAGUUUGGGAGCAUGGCCAGACCUAAUUCUUUGCCUGCUGGAUUCUCACAGUUCGGGAGCAUGGCCAGACCUAAUUCUUUGCCUGCUGGAUCCUCACAGUUUGGGAGCAUGGCCAGACCUAAUUCUUUGACUGGUGGAUUCUCUCAGUUCGGGAGCUUGGCCAGUUCUAAUUACUUGCAAACUGGAUCCUCUCAGUUUGGGCGCAUGGCUGGACCUAAUUCUAUAGGUCCUGCUGAUUCCUCUCAGUUUGGGCGCAUGGCUGGACCUAAUUCUAGACCUCCUGCCGAAUCCUCUCAGUUUGGAAGCAUGGCCAGACCUAAUUCCAGACCUCCUG
This 378-nucleotide long non-coding RNA is filed under the name Brachypodium distachyon (stiff brome). RNAcentral describes it as "long non-coding RNA (BDIS_LNC003746)". Lineage: Eukaryota; Viridiplantae; Streptophyta; Magnoliopsida; Poales; Poaceae. The record is from RNAcentral.